ACGACUGCUAAUACCGAAUAAGUUCCAAGAGCCGCAUGGCCCAUGGAAGAAAAGGUGGCCUCUACCUGUAAGCUAUCGCCUGAAGAGGGGUUUGCGUCUGAUUAGCUGGUUGGAGGGGUAACGGCCCACCAAGGCGACGAUCAGUAGCCGGUCUGAGAGGAUGAACGGCCACAUGGAACUGAGACACGGCCAGACUCCUACGGGAGGCAGCAUG
Molecule: ribosomal RNA, 214 nt
Filed under: uncultured bacterium
Lineage: Bacteria
Description: partial 16S ribosomal RNA
Rfam family: Bacterial small subunit ribosomal RNA
Source: RNAcentral